RNAcentral lists this ribosomal RNA (381 nucleotides) under Caloneis sp. DM-MEX005. RNAcentral's name for it is "SSU rRNA". It matches the Rfam family "Eukaryotic small subunit ribosomal RNA", at positions 582 to 971 of the family's 1831-position model. Lineage: Eukaryota; Bacillariophyta; Bacillariophyceae; Sellaphorales; Pinnulariaceae. The record is from RNAcentral.
AUUCCAGCUCCAAUAGCGUAUAUUAAAGUUGUUGCAGUUAAAAAGCUCGUAGUUGGAUUUGUGGUGGUGCCUGCGGUCCAAAAUGUUUUGGUGCUGUGUGGCACUGCCAUCCUUGGGUGGAACCUGUGGGGCAUUAGGUUGUUUUGCAGGGGAUGCCCAUCGUUUACUGUGAAAAAAUUAGAGUGUUCAAAGCAGGCUUACGCCGUUGAAUAUAUUAGCAUGGAAUAAUGAGAUAGGACUCUGGUGCUAUUUUGUUGGUUUGCGCACCGAAGUAAUGAUUAAUAGGGACAGUUGGGGGUAUUCGUAUUCCAUUGUCAGAGGUGAAAUUCUUGGAUUUCUGGAAGACGAACUACUGCGAAAGCAUUUACCAAGGAUGUUUUC